This 497-nucleotide ribosomal RNA is filed under the name uncultured bacterium. Its description in RNAcentral is "partial 16S ribosomal RNA". It matches the Rfam family "Bacterial small subunit ribosomal RNA", at positions 28 to 507 of the family's 1533-position model. The record is from RNAcentral.
GAUGAACGCUGGCGGCGUGCCUAAUACAUGCAAGUCGAGCGAACAGAUAAGGAGCUUGCUCCUUUGACGUUAGCGGCGGACGGGUGAGUAACACGUGGAUAACCUACCUAUAAGACUGGGAUAACUUCGGGAAACCGGAGCUAAUACCGGAUAACAUAUUGAACCGCAUGGUUCAAUAGUGAAAGGCGGCUUUGCUGUCACUUAUAGAUGGAUCCGCGCCGUAUUAGCUAGUUGGUAAGGUAACGGCUUACCAAGGCAACGAUACGUAGCCGACCUGAGAGGGUGAUCGGCCACACUGGAACUGAGACACGGUCCAGACUCCUACGGGAGGCAGCAGUAGGGAAUCUUCCGCAAUGGGCGAAAGCCUGACGGAGCGACGCCGCGUGAGUGAUGAAGGUCUUCGGAUCGUAAAACUCUGUUAUCAGGGAAGAACAAAUGUGUAAGUAACUGUGCACAUCUUGACGGUACCUGAUCAGAAAGCCACGGCUAACUACGUG